UCUCAACCACUGCGCUACCAGGGAAGCCCUUCACAUUGCAUUUUACCAGAUUCUUUCCCAUUAUGGGUUAUUCCAAGGUAUGGAAUACAGCUCCCUGUGCUAUAAGCUCACGUCCAUUAGGAAAGGAGGAGCAGUAACAAGUUACAUACUGCAAAGAAGCGUUACACGUUCAAUGACAGUUGCCUAAGAGAAGGCUGGAGAUGUAAUUUCGUCUGUGCUGUCUUCCUUUUCUCAGCUUGCAGGCCGCAGGAGAGCUCAGAGCCCGACUCGCGAAGUUUGACUCUGACACGCUGGCUCCAGGCAUUCGGUCCGUGAGGAAGUGACAUGUGAUACCGUGUCAGCUUCCAAAACUUCCACCUGGCCUUGAUCGCCUGGGGUCUCCAGACACUUGUGUGUGUUGAUCUCGGAUGCAGAACUGCUGCCGGCCUCGGAGGCAUCUCGGGGGCUAUGGAGACAGGAACAUUCCCAUCGAUGAGGAUGCCAGGAAGCAGGCGGUGGUGGGCUUAGGGUUCAAGCUUCGGGGACUGAUGCAGUUCUGAUGCAGGAUUCCAGGCCUGUCUUUAUCAAGCCUCUGCCCGGCCUCGUUCUCACCCAGGCACUUAGUGAUUCACUGGCUUAUUCUGCAAAUACUCACCAAGGGGCUGCUGUGUUGCAGGCACUGUUUAGGCCCGGGAGACAGAGGUGGGGAAGCAGAGUCCCUGCCCUCACAGAGCUUCCCAGGACCUGGGACUCUGCAGCGAAAACUGGGCAAAUCCUGGGCAAACGGGGACCAGUUGGUCACGCCACGUGGGGGACAAGCCAUCAGCGAGCACACAAAUAAAUAUGGUAAGUUCAGACAGUGAUACAGGCCAAGGAAUAAGGCGGGUGAUGUGCUACCAGUGGAGGGUAGGAGGAAGCUUCUGUUGACAGCUGGGCACGGCGGGGAGGAAUGUCACAGGCCGAGGGAGCCAGGACACAGCCGGCAAGGCAGAAGUCAGGAGAGAAAGGCUUGAGGCUGGAGUGGAUGGAGAGGAAGCAGGUGGCAUCAGGGAGGCAUGGAAGGAGCUGGGAUUCUGCGACAACACGAAUCUGGCCAAUCAGCAGUUACCGAGGCCGGGGCCGCCUUCACGGGCUUUACUUGUGUUGACUCGCUUCAUCCUCACAACAAAGGUAGGCUCGUGUCAUUAUCCUGCCCACGUGAUGGAGGAAGAAACCCAGGUACAGGAGGCGUGAGGACGUAGCCCAGGCUGACGCUAAAGAGGCCGCCCCCCACCCCACUACCACCCGGCGUUUGGACCAAACCCCCCCUGGCGCCUCCCUGCGUGACCUGCCCAGUCCAGACCCGUCGCACCCCAGGGCCUCCCGGCUGUGUUAAAAGUCACAGAUUGUCUGUGAGCUGCGCCUCUGUAAUAUUUUCACAAUGGGUUUCAAAUGAAGAAACCAAGGAGGCGAAACGAUGAUGGCGUAUCGCCUUUUUAACUUCCACCCUGCUUCUUUAUAACCACCCUCAAUGUGUUAUUUUUGCCCCUCCUUGAAUGUAGAAAACAACAUAGCCAUCCAAGUGCAGAGACUGUCAUACCGGCAACAAAAUUACUUUAUCAGCUGUGGUUAACAAUAGGGUUUUCUUUCCUCUACCAUUUCUGAUAAAAUGUUUGCACAGCAUUAUAUGGGGAAACACAGAGCUACCGCAACAAUACAUGAACAAGGAUAAUUUGUGUGUUGGCAUUUCCACGAUAGAAUGUCAAGUAUUUCAUACCCCAGUGAUACUGAGCCUUUCUAAGCCGACUGCUUUGAAAAAAAAAAUGCUUCAUGUUCAUUUCAUUAUUAAUCUUAAGCUGUACAUAUACAUUACAGACACUCUUUUUGUAUGGUAUGUUUCUCAAACAAUAUUUGAAAGUCUGAAUAAAAAUAAAUAGGCGUUUAGAAUGAUUGCAUUGAAAUACGCAUUGAAAAUGCUACUGUGUCAGGCAAACUAACGCAGUUGCUACUGAUGGAGAACCUUUUUUUCUAAGACCACCCUGCCCUUAUUUCAUGUAAUGCCCCAUCCUUUUCAGGAUUCCCUGCAAUGAUCACUUUGAAAGGGACUUUGUCGCUUUUGUAGGACAUGAUGAUUAAUCAAUGUGGACUCAUUUCUCUCAUUAUUCUUACAGUUCUGCUUCAGACAGACACUUUCCAGGUGGUAGAUAAGGAUAAUCAGAUCCCAAAUUUAACGAGAAAUCAUCACAUCUUAAGAGUACUUACAAAUCACGUAUUGUAAAAUGAGUUGAAAAGUAAUCUGUAUGCAUCAUUUGAAUUUUAGGGAUUCCUUUAUUCUUAAGAAAUCGCUUUUAUAUUAAACCAAAGUAGACAGUUGAGACAGAAAAGUAUCAAAAGGAAAAAAAAAAGGUAGGAGAGACCUGUAGGUAACUCUGGUUUUGCAUUUCAAAAAGAACCCUCAAAAGCAGAAAGGACCAGCCCUCAAGUCCCCCUGUGGUGUGUAGGAUCCUGGUGAAGACCUUGUAUGGUCCGUGCAGAUGUUUGAUCUCAGGUUCACAUCUGGUCCACAAGGCACGUGAUGGAGGUUCAUGCAGCCUCCAGAGGGAGAGAGUUUUGGAGCCUGAGGUGACGUAUCUUUGGACUUGCCAACAAGAUCAGGCAGUUUCGAGCAUGAAUACAGACUAAACGAAUGUUUUAGUUUUUUCAUGUCAAAGACAAGAAGACGGCUUCCCUGGUGGCGCAGUGGUUGAGAG
Molecule: long non-coding RNA, 2708 nt
Organism: Aethalodelphis obliquidens (Pacific white-sided dolphin)
Lineage: Eukaryota; Metazoa; Chordata; Mammalia; Artiodactyla; Delphinidae
Exons: 4
Source: RefSeq, a predicted model, not a curated record